This 497-nucleotide ribosomal RNA is filed under the name uncultured bacterium. RNAcentral describes it as "partial 16S ribosomal RNA". It matches the Rfam family "Bacterial small subunit ribosomal RNA", at positions 28 to 507 of the family's 1533-position model. The record is from RNAcentral.
GAUGAACGCUGGCGGCGUGCCUAAUACAUGCAAGUCGAGCGAACAGACGAGUAGCUUGCUCCUCUGACGUUAGCGGCGGACGGGUGAGUAACACGUGGAUAACCUACCUAUAAGACUGGGAUCACUUCGGGAAACGGGUGCUAAUACCGGCUAAUAUAUUGAACCGCAUGGGUCAAUAGUGAAAGACGGCUUUGCUUUCACUUAUAGAUGGAUCCGCGCCGCAUUAGCUAGUUGGUCAGGUAACGGCCUACCAAGGCAACGAUGCGUAGCUGGCCUGAGAGGAUGAUCGGCCACACUGGAACUGAGACACGGUCCAGACUCCUACGGGAGGCAGCAGUGGGGAAUGUUGGACAAUGGGCGAAAGCCUGACCCAGCAAUGCCGCGUGUGUGAAGAAGGCCUUCGGAUUGUAAAGCACUUUUAUUAGGAAAGAAAAACUGGGUCAGAAUACGUGCAGGGGUUGACGGUACCUAAAGAAUAAGCACCGGCUAACUACGUG